CGACCGUACCGCAAACCGACACUGGUGCGCGAGAUGAGUAUUCUAAGGCGCUUGAGAGAACUCAGGAGAAGGAACUCGGCAAAUUGACACCGUAACUUCGGAAGAAGGUGUGCCUUUAGUAGGUGAAGUCCCUCGCGGAUGGAGCCCAAUGAGGUUAAAAAAAAAAUCGGUGGCUGCGACUGUUUAUUAAAAACACAGCACUCUGCAAACACGAAAGUGGACGUAUAGGGUGUGACGCCUGCCCGGUGCUGGAAGAUUAAAUGAUGGGGUGCAAGCUCUUGAUUGAAGUCCCAGUAAACGGCGGCCGUAACAAUAACGGUCCUAAGGUAGCGAAAUCCCUUGUCGGGUAAGUUCCGACCUGCACGAAUGGCGUAACGAUGGCCACACUGUCUCCUCCUGAGACUCAGCGAAGUUGAAAUGUUUGUGAUGAUGCAAUCUCCCCGCGGAAAGACGGAAAGACCCCAUGAACCUUUACUGUAGCUUUGUAUUGGACUUUGAACAGAUCUGUGUAGGAUAGGUGGGAGGCUUUGAAGCAGGGUCGCUAGAUCUUGUGGAGCCAACGUUGAAAUACCACCCUGGUGUGUUUGAGGUUCUAACCUAGGCCCGUAAUCCGGGUUGGGGACAGUGCAUGGUAGGCAGUUUGACUGGGGCGGUCUCCUCCCAAAGUGUAACGGAGGAGUUCGAAGGUACGCUAGUUACGGUCGGACAUCGUGACGAUAGUGCAAUGGCAUAAGCGUGCUUAACUGCGAGACUGACAAGUCGAGCAGAUGCGAAAGCAGGACAUAGUGAUCCGGUGGUUCUGUAUGGAAGGGCCAUCGCUCAACGGAUAAAAGGUACUCUGGAUAACAGGCUGAUACCGCCCAAGAGUUCAUAUCGACGGCGGUGUUUGGCACCUCGAUGUCGGCUCAUCUCAUCCUGGGGCUGUAGCCGGUCCCAAGGGUAUGGCUGUUCGCCAUUUAAAGAGGUACGUGAGCUGGGUUUAAAACGUCGUGAGACAGUUUGGUCCCUAUCUUCCGUGGGCGCUGCAGAUUUGAGGAAGCCUGCUCCUAGUACGAGAGGACCGGAGUGGACGCACCUCUGGUGUAUCGGUUGUCACGCCAGUGGCAUUGCCGAUUAGCUAUGUGCGGAAGAGAUAACCGCUGAAAGCAUCUAAGCGGGAAACUCGUUUCAAGAUGAGAUCUGCCGGGGCCUUGAGCCCCCUGAAGAGUCGUUCAAGACCAGGACGUUGAUAGGUCGGGUGUGGAAGCGCAGUAAUGCGUUAAGCUAACCGAUACUAAUUGCUCGUGCGGCUUGACC
RNAcentral lists this ribosomal RNA (1296 nucleotides) under metagenome. RNAcentral describes it as "bacterial LSU rRNA". It matches the Rfam family "Bacterial large subunit ribosomal RNA", at positions 1639 to 2925 of the family's 2925-position model. The record is from RNAcentral.